This 73-nucleotide transfer RNA is filed under the name Ailuropoda melanoleuca (giant panda). It matches the Rfam family "tRNA". From Rfam's summary of the family: Transfer RNA (tRNA) molecules are approximately 80 nucleotides in length. The record is from Rfam by way of RNAcentral. Lineage: Eukaryota; Metazoa; Chordata; Mammalia; Carnivora; Ursidae.
UCCUGGAUGGCUCAGUUGGUAGAGCAUGCAACUCUGGAUCUCAGGGUCAUGAGUUCAAGCCUCACUUUGGGCA